Molecule: long non-coding RNA, 525 nt
Filed under: Homo sapiens (human)
Lineage: Eukaryota; Metazoa; Chordata; Mammalia; Primates; Hominidae
Description: HSALNT0052404
Source: RNAcentral
CUUUCUUCCCUUCUUCCUCCUCCUCUCCCUUCUACAUACUCAGGUAAUUAAUUCAGGUAUAUGUAUAUAUUCAGGUAAAUUCUUUCUUUUUGUCUCUAUGUAUAUAGACUAGAGAGAGUAAGAGAGGAAAGAGAGAGAGAGAGAUCUCCUAUUGGUUCUUUUUCUCAAGAGAACUGAAUACAGUGACACUGCAAUGAAGUCUCCUCAAAAAAAAAAAAAAAAAAAAAAAAAAGAAAGAAAAGAAAAGAAAAGAAAAGAAAAAGCCAGAACUUUGAACCUGUUGUCUCUUUAUCUAGAGUGCAUUUCCUCAUUUUUUCACCAUUUGAAGGCCUCUUUAGCCAGAAGACCCAUUUCAAAUACGCCACAUUCGAUAAAACUUUCCUGACUCCCUCUGGACAGUUUCCUUGUUCUGUAGCCUGCAUUAGGGUAGCAUUAUAAGCUCUUAAACACAGAGGAUGAUGUUCUGGAGGCCUGGGCAUCAUUUUAACCUUAUCAGCCUCAUAAAAUUCUUCAUAAGUCCUGGCC